UGAGGAAUAUUGGUCAAUGGACGAGAGUCUGAACCAGCCAAGUAGCGUGAAGGAUGACUGCCCUAUGGGUUGUAAACUUCUUUUAUACGGGAAUAAAGUGAGGCACGUGUGCCUUUUGUAUGUACCGUAUGAAUAAGGAUCGGCUAACUCCGUGCCAGCAGCCGCGGUAAUACGGAGGAUCCGAGCGUUAUCCGGAUUUAUUGGGUUUAAAGGGAGCGUAGGCGGACGCUUAAGUCAGUUGUGAAAGUUU
This 250-nucleotide ribosomal RNA is filed under the name uncultured bacterium. Its description in RNAcentral is "partial 16S ribosomal RNA". It matches the Rfam family "Bacterial small subunit ribosomal RNA", at positions 355 to 603 of the family's 1533-position model. The record is from RNAcentral.